AUACGUAGGGUGCGAGCGUUGUCCGGAAUUACUGGGCGUAAAGAGCUCGUAGGUGGUUUGUCGCGUCGUCUGUGAAAUUCCGGGGCUUAACUCCGGGCGUGCAGGCGAUACGGGCAUAACUUGAGGUCUGUAGGGGAGACUGGAAUUCCUGGUGUAGAGGAGAAAUGCGCAGAUAUCAGGAGGAACACCGGUGGCGAAGGCGGGUCUCUGGGCAGUAACUGACGCUGAGGAGCGAAAGCAUGGGUAGCGAACAGGAUUAGAUCCCCUGGUAGUCCAUGCCGUAACCGGUGGGCGCUAGGUGUAGGGGUCUUCCACGACUUCUGUGCCGUAGCUAACGCAUUAAGCGCCCCGCCUGGGGAGUACGGCCGCAAGGCUAAAACUCAAAGGAAUUGACGGGG
This 398-nucleotide ribosomal RNA is filed under the name uncultured bacterium. RNAcentral describes it as "partial 16S ribosomal RNA". It matches the Rfam family "Bacterial small subunit ribosomal RNA", at positions 523 to 918 of the family's 1533-position model. The record is from RNAcentral.